Molecule: long non-coding RNA, 1480 nt
Filed under: Heterocephalus glaber (naked mole-rat)
Lineage: Eukaryota; Metazoa; Chordata; Mammalia; Rodentia; Bathyergidae
Description: lncRNA (ENSHGLG00100049837.1)
Source: RNAcentral
AUGUUAUGCUCUGAUUCCUUGUGACCUCACAGACGGUUGGCUUGGCUGGCUCUCAGAGGCUCUUCGCCGGUGCCCAGGAGGGAGUCUGCACAGAGCUGACUUCGGGCAGCUGCCUCGGAUGUUUGGGUGGCCAACCUCCUGCAGCCUGAGGGGAAGCCAGGCACAAGUAGGCCAGCACCGUCCCGUCCCUCUGCAGAAGCGCCAUCGGGGAGGAAGCCACAGAGCCACACCAGCCUCAGGAAUGGGGACAACACAGUGCUGAGGGGAGGGACACGCAGUGCUGCCAUCCCCAUGCUGGAGACGGUGGGUUCCACCCGGGGGAUGGAGCCAGCGGCCUGGCACCCGGCAUGCUACAGAGCCAGUGUUGCACCCACGGGUGCCAAGGAUGCCCCUCCACACCGGGCACCCCCAGGUCGCCAGGCCAUGUGCUGAGCCACCUCAGGACAGGCAACUGCCAGCCGAGACUGGGCCUCUUCCCCAUGCCAGACUGCAGGCUCCAGGGCAGGCAUGAACCCCCAGCAACACGGAGCCCUUGAACCCUGCCGAGCCUGGCUGCCAGGGUCCAGCAGAUCCAUCCCAGGAGACUUCGGAAGAACAAGACCUCAGGCCUGAGCCUGCUGUGGCCUUCAGGAGACACCAGAUCCGCAGCUCCCCGGGCAGCUCCGGCGGGGCCAGAUCUCCGCUCUCUCCUCAGUGUCCGGGGGACCAUGCUGCUGGCUGAUCUUCCUGCAGUCCCAGAGCCGGGCCAGAUUAAACCAUGGAGGAGCUGUGGAGACAACGCUGCGGUUUACAGUGACGGCUGGCGGGCGCUGCCCAGAAUAUUUUUCCAGUGAGGUGCUGAUGAGAAACGGCUCUGAGGACCAUAAAAUCGAUCUCGUGCAUUUGUCCCGACAGCUGCUUGUUCCAGGGAACUUUGCUUCAAAUUCAAAAUAAAGAGCCUCACUGGAUGUCAGCCUUGGGAGGAGGAGACCAGCCAGCGAGGCAGGCCCAGCCCAGGUCACCCGAACACUGUCCGGGCAGGUCCAGGGCACCUGCCUCCAGGUGUGCGACUUGUGACAAACACACUAGGCUGCCCACUGACGGGAGUGGGCCCUGCACCAGGCAGGUUCUCUGGGGAACAGAAUCAUGGAGAACGUGGUUUUGAUCAUGCACGGGGUUACUAGUCCGGCCCACGGUCUGGGCGGAGAGUCCACGGCCGUACAGCAAGGAGGGUCCAGGAGCUGCCCAGCCAGGAGCUGAAGCCACAGAACACAAGGGCCAGGACUGAAGCCCCAGCCCAACUGAGGCCCGAAGCCCCCUGGAGAGUAGCCGGGAAUCUGCUCCAGAAGCUGGAGGCCGCCCUCGGAAGGCCAUGGUGAAGACUGGUGCUCUCGCACCUAGCGAAUCUGGGCCACAGGCCUACUGGCUGGUGCCACCCACAUCGGCUGGGCCGCCCCUCUCGGUUGGCUGGCCCCCACGUCAGUCAUCCACAGACACACAG